UCCUUGGAAUAGGAUGUCAUAGAGGGUGAGAACCCCGUACAUGCUAUGGACGCCCAGUGCUUUGUGAUACACUUUCGAAGAGUCGAGUUGUUUGGGAAUGCAGCUCAAAAUGGGUGGUAAAUUCCAUCUAAAGCUAAAUAUUGGGGAGAGACCGAUAGCAAACAAGUACCGUGAGGGAAAGAUGAAAAGCACUUUGGAAAGAGAGUUAAACAGUACGUGAAAUUGUCAAAAGGGAAGCGCUUCAAGUCAGAUAUGGCUUUGAAUGUUCAGCCUUUAGGUGUAUUCAUUUUUUGUCAGGCCAGCAUCGAUUUUGAACGUCGGAUAAGGGUAGAAAGAACGUAGCAUACUCUCGGGUAUGUGUUAUAGCUUUUUACUGGAUACGACGAUCGGGAUCGAGGUUCGCAGCACACCCUUUUUUGGGCAGGUCUUCGGACACUUUUUGUGCUUAGGAUGCUGGCGUAA
This 462-nucleotide ribosomal RNA is filed under the name Meira nashicola. RNAcentral's name for it is "partial large subunit ribosomal RNA". It matches the Rfam family "Eukaryotic large subunit ribosomal RNA", at positions 187 to 634 of the family's 3401-position model. Lineage: Eukaryota; Fungi; Basidiomycota; Exobasidiomycetes; Exobasidiales; Brachybasidiaceae. The record is from RNAcentral.